CUGUGGUGUAGGUCACAGCCACGGCUCGGGUCUGGCGUGGCUGUGGCUGUGGCUGCGGUGUAGGCUGGCAGCUGGAGCUCGAAUACGCCCCCUGGCCUGGAACUUCCAUAUGCCGCUGAUGCGACCCUAAAAAGCAAUACAUAAAUAAAUGAAUUUUAAGAAAAUAAAAAUAAAUAUCAUCAAAAGCUCCAGGAAAACAAGAAGGCUCUACGAGAGGGUUGGAACAACUGCUGCAUAAAGUGACCUUGAGCAGGUAGCGGCUGUGAGUGGAAGGGCGGGUUUGUCGAGUGCACUUGCCCUGAGGUUCCAGAAGUCUCCUUGGAAACACGGGGACUGUGACAAAGGGCCUGUGGAAGGGCUGUCGUCUCAGCGCAGGCCUAGGUCAGCCCUGAAUGUUGUUCACACCGUGGGAACAAUCUACACGCUCUUCUCUGACACUGACUUUUAUUUUAUUUCUAAUUAAUGUAUUCAUUUAACAACAGCUUUGACCGUGUAAAUAUAAACAGGCCGCUGGCAGAAGCAGAAGCGGGGUUCACAGAACGGGGCACCAAUUUGCUUUUGUUGCUGCUGUUGUUGUUUCUGCUUUUUGGGGGCCACCCCCGAGGCAUAGGGGUCGAAUCGGAGCUAUGACUGCCAGCCUGCAGCAGAGCUGCAGCAACACCGGAUCCUUAACCUGCUGAGCGAGGCCAGGAUCGAACCUGCGACCCCACGGCUCCGCGUCGGAUUCGUUUCCGCUGCGCCACGACGGCACCUCCAGGGCACCAACCUGUCAUGAUCUUGUUCAUUCUGUUGACUUGGUUCUUUGGCUUCUGUCUGUCUCGCCCCCAGAGCACGGGCUCAUCAAGAAGCUCUGGUUUUCUCCUGCCCGGACCCUCCCACGGAGCCUGUGGCCAGGAGGAAGCCAGCAGGAAGCAUGUUGGCACAGCCUCGGUGGAAGCGAAAGACCACACGCUGGAAUCCCAAAGCUUCAACUAUUCAUCAGCUGCCCAGUGCGCCAGUGGCGGUUCGGAGUGGCUGUUAGCCUGGCAUUGACGCUAAACCUGGAGCAACAAGGACCGAAAUUCAGCCCAAACGACUGUUGGCACCUCCACCUCUGAGGUCUCGUGGAAAUUGGAUGAUCAAUUUUGAAGUGGCUUUAAUGAAAUAUUAGUUCCUUCUCCUUUGAAAUCGAUUUCACCAAAGCCAAAGCUUUAGAUCAGGUGAAAUCGCUCUUGGAAUAUGCCAGAGACAGGAUCCACCAACAGGCAGGUCUUCUCCGCCACUGACUGCCGGGAAGUGUCAAAGAACUGGGAGCCAGAGAUGGUUCUAUGGUCUCGGGAGGGAGCAGGGCCCAUGCUUCCCUCACCAGUCCCUGACUCAGGGGGUGGCAGUGAGUGCCAGGGAGUGACUGGCAGCGUCCCGACAGAGUGAAAGAAUGAGCGAAUGAAUAUGCACGAAGCCAGCCUGUUAGGCUCCGUCACGGAAAUGCUUGCUUUGCCUCCAGGGAGUCCGCUGAAGACCCAGUGAAACAAAAGCUUUCCCAGGUGACCCUGGGAACCCCUGCGUCUCCUCCGGGGGUCCCGGACCUGGUGGGGGAAGCACACCAACGCUCCACCUGCUGGCCCCCACCC
Molecule: long non-coding RNA, 1610 nt
Filed under: Sus scrofa (pig)
Lineage: Eukaryota; Metazoa; Chordata; Mammalia; Artiodactyla; Suidae
Description: lncRNA (ENSSSCG00050006238.1)
Source: RNAcentral